GUGACCUAUGUAAGUGAAGAUAAAUGCAAGCUCUUGUCUGAAGUUGGUAAAAUGCAAGCCAGUUUCAACCUGGACUUACAGGCACGACAGUAAGAUUGAGAUACUGUGCUGCUAUGUGUGCAGGAGGUACUGCUGGGAAAGGUCUGUCAAGCUGGAAUAGUACCCAACCUUUUCCAGCUGUAGGGCACAGUCCACAGUGCUUUCCAAGAAUAUUUUUUUCAUAUGUGAUGGAAGAAAAAAAAAAAAAAAAAGGCAUUUGAACUUCUGUAACAAAUUCCAACUGAGCCUGGAAGACUCAAGUGCAGUCUAACUUCUGUCUCAGGUAUGAAUAUUUAGAAGUUCAAACUUUGCUUUGGCAAAUCCAUUUCUUCUGGAUGUUAAGAAUUCUAUUUUAUUUUAUUUU
Molecule: long non-coding RNA, 403 nt
Organism: Tympanuchus pallidicinctus (lesser prairie-chicken)
Lineage: Eukaryota; Metazoa; Chordata; Aves; Galliformes; Phasianidae
Exons: 2
Source: RefSeq, a predicted model, not a curated record